AUGACCGCAUUCGCACGCAUUAAAUCACGCAAUCGAUUUUUGAUCCUCUCCUCCAGUUCGAUAAUUGUUUUAUUUAAAGUGUUUUGCGUAUCGCUCGAUUGACUUUCGCUGGCUGGGCAGGAAGUAAAUUGGAUUUAUAUAAUGUUGGCAUAUUAUGCGAGAUUCUUGCCAUAUUAGCAUAGCCAGUUUUUUAUUUUUCUUAUUUUUGCCGUACCACGCACAGCUGUUCGAAAUGGGAGCGUGUGUGUGUGUGCGCCUUUGGGGCUUGAUUAAUUACCGUAACAAUAACAUUGGCGCUGAUGCCAAUUAUGGCAAUCGGCCACUUGGAAGACAACGAAAGCGCAACUGCAUAAAAAGUGCUGCACAUGUGUGUGACUUUGAUUGUGAGUGCCAGAGCGAGUGUGUGGGUGCAUCGGUAUGCGUGUGGAAAGGCUUACCCUCGUUGUUGUACUGCAAGUGUAAUUGCAACGGCGGCUGGUUGUUCGUCUUCCACUGCUGCAAUAUGUUGGAGACAUCGUCGUGGGUCUUAUCCGCCAGAAAUCUGCCAAGGAGUACCAGGCAUAUAUGAGUAUUUAUAGCAUCGCUGCCUCUGCUGUGCCAGCAACAUCA
Non-coding RNA from Drosophila suzukii, 609 nucleotides. NCBI's taxonomy places the organism in Eukaryota, Metazoa, Arthropoda, Insecta, Diptera, Drosophilidae. The record is from RefSeq and is a predicted model, not a curated record.